Molecule: small nuclear RNA, 164 nt
Filed under: Carassius auratus (goldfish)
Lineage: Eukaryota; Metazoa; Chordata; Actinopteri; Cypriniformes; Cyprinidae
Description: U1 spliceosomal RNA (ENSCARG00000009445.1)
Rfam family: U1 spliceosomal RNA
About the family: U1 is a small nuclear RNA (snRNA) component of the spliceosome (involved in pre-mRNA splicing). Its 5' end forms complementary base pairs with the 5' splice junction, thus defining the 5' donor site of an intron.
Source: Rfam by way of RNAcentral
AUACUUACCUGGCAGGGGAGACACCAUGAUCAAGAAGGCGGUUCACCCAGGGCGAGGCUUGUCCAUUGCACUCCGGCCAUGCUGACCCCUGCGAAUUCCUCAAAUGCGGGAAUCUCGACUGCAUAAUUUAUGGUAGUGGGGGACUGCGUUCGCGCUCUCCCCUG